Long non-coding RNA from Hordeum vulgare subsp. vulgare (domesticated barley), 1543 nucleotides. RefSeq lists it as uncharacterized. The transcript has 5 exons. Lineage: Eukaryota; Viridiplantae; Streptophyta; Magnoliopsida; Poales; Poaceae. The record is from RefSeq and is a predicted model, not a curated record.
CCUAGAGCUUCGCUCCUCUCUUACCGCCGCCACCACUCCCGUGCAUGAUCCCCCUUCUCCCCCGCGAGCCCUCUCUCUGUCCCGCUCCCGUGACUCCUCUGCCACCGUCACCUGUGCCGCACGAUUCCGGCGAGUUGAUGCGGCUCUUGCCGGUGCGCAGCACACCUUUGGGGUCCCCUCGUACCACUCUCUCAUCCCCUCCCGUCAGAUCCAUCUCUCGCGCCCGCAACCCUCACCCAUGGUGGACCUCGUUGAUGAUGCGCCCCUCACGAGAUCCCUGCCGACCUGCUCAUCCCCUCCUCCAUGUCCAGGUGCUCGUGGAUCUCACCGUCGGGGCUCCUUCCCGGAUCUGUUCGCAAGUCCCCAGCCUCAACCAGCGACGCUAACCACCACCACCACCCCUCUCACGUCGUCGUUCGACAGCAGGCCACCUCCUUGGCCAUCGUCCGCGACACCUUAUUCUCCACCAAGGAAGUGUUCAAGAGCCACCAUGCCGCCUCGACUCCCCGGAUGUCGCCGUCGUCCUCUUCCACAUCCUGCACCCUCUCCAUACAUGGUCAUCUGCCCCUAUGCGUCCUACAACCACCGCGACGACAGGCUUUACCCUGGAGGCAGGGGAACAUAGUACACGCGACGCCGGUGUUGUUGUUGUUGGUCGGGCGGUGGUCAGAUCCACCAUGGCCACAACUGGCAUCCUCUCCCUCCUUAUCCAGCUUCCUCCCACGACUGAGAAGAGGGCUUCGUUAGGGAUCCCACAAUGGAGGUCAACAUGGAGGUAGCUUCCUCCCAUCCCAGAUUGACCAUCCGUCAAUGAAGGCCAUGAGAGCAGCGUGGGCGCACACAUGGCUGCGCUUCAAGUUGUAGCUUGAUAGAUGCAGGCACGUCACCAUGGGGAAAGUCAAGGUCUUCCUUCUCCUCCCAUUUUGUCUGAUCCGCCAGAGCCAGCCAUCCCCGACGCCUUGCACCAUGGCGGUGGUAAGACCAUGACCCCGUCAUUCUUCCUUGCGGGGAGCGGGCAGCUACAGCGAGUGCACAGCAGCGGCGACCAUCUCACAAGCAAAGCCAACACUGAUACUGGGACCAGGCCCGUGGCGGCGAGGGACUACUACGACAUGCUCGGCAUGAAGAAGGAUGUCAUCUAGGGCAAGAUCAAGAAGGCAUAUUACGCGGCAUGCAUGAAGAGGAAGGCAGUAGAACUUGAAGCUGCACAAGUCGAAUGCGACAAGUCGUAUGAGCUGCUGCUCAACAAGGCGGAAGAAAAUGAUGUGGAGUACGUUCAGUUGAUGGCGCUGCUUGGAGCCAAAAAAGGGAACUAGGUGGUUUUGGUAAUAGAUUUUGGUAGCAGUACUUGAUAACAGAUCUUGGAAUUAGAUUUUGGUAGCAGUUCUUGUGCACUUGAUAACUAGGUGGUUUUCGUAUUCGAUUUUGGUUGUGCUACAAAUUUAUGGUGUUGGCUAAGAUUUGUGGUUGUGCUAUAUAUUUUGAUUGUGCUACAGAUUUAUGGUGUGGGCUAUAUAUUAUUAGAUUUAUGGUGUGGGCUAUA